Molecule: ribosomal RNA, 253 nt
Filed under: uncultured bacterium
Lineage: Bacteria
Description: partial 16S ribosomal RNA
Rfam family: Bacterial small subunit ribosomal RNA
Source: RNAcentral
UACGUAGGGUGCAAGCGUUAAUCGGAAUUACUGGGCGUAAAGCGUGCGCAGGCGGUUUUGUAAGUCAGAUGUGAAAUCCCCGGGCUUAACCUGGGAACUGCGUUUGAAACUACAAGGCUAGAGUGUGGCAGAGGGGGGUGGAAUUCCACGUGUAGCAGUGAAAUGCGUAGAGAUGCGGAGGAACACCGAUGGCGAAGGCAGCCCCCUGGGCUAACACUGACGCUCAGGCACGAAAGCGUGGGGAGCAAACAGG